Molecule: long non-coding RNA, 684 nt
Filed under: Homo sapiens (human)
Lineage: Eukaryota; Metazoa; Chordata; Mammalia; Primates; Hominidae
Description: non-protein coding lnc-LAMC2-3:1
Source: RNAcentral
UAUGUUCCAUAUAAGAAAUAACGGAAAAACACCAGUCCCAAGGAUGCAAGAAACCAAAAUUGCAUGGGGUUGUGAUAGCCUUAAGGGUUGUGCAUUUGAAGUGAGUCUUGCUAAUCUGCAGAAGGCUGAAGUUGCAUUUAGAAAAUUCAAGCUAAUUACUGAAGAUCUCCAGGGCAAAAACUGCCUGACUCACUUCCAUGGCCUGGAUCUUACCCAUGACAAAAUGCGUUCUAUUGUCAAAAAAAAUGGCAGACCAUGAUUGAAGCUCAGGCUGAUGUGAAGACUACCAAUGGCUAUUUGCUUCAUCUAUUCUGCGUUGGUUUUACUAAAAAGAGGCAACAAUCGGAUAUGGAAGACCUCUUAGGCUCAGCACCAACAGGUCUGCCAAAUCUAGGAGAAGAUGAUGGUAAUCAUGACGGGGUAGGGGGCAGAGGAGUUGUUGUAGACAAAUGAUUUGAAAGAAGUGGUCAAUAAAUUGAUCCCAGACAGCAUUGGAAAACAGAAAAGGCUUGCCAAUCUGUCCUGUCCGCGAUGUUUUCACUAACAUCGUGGGAUAGGGAUGGGGAGAGGAUGUGGUGAAGGUAGUGGCUCUGGAAAAACCACUGGGGGAGAGACAGGGGCUAAAGUUGAACAAGCUGGUGGAUAAAAGCCACUGGACCAAGACUCUGUAAAAAUUCAGACUUU